This 87-nucleotide transfer RNA is filed under the name Medicago truncatula (barrel medic). RNAcentral describes it as "tRNA gene47246". The record is from RNAcentral. Lineage: Eukaryota; Viridiplantae; Streptophyta; Magnoliopsida; Fabales; Fabaceae.
GUGGACGUGCCGGAGUGGUUAUCGGGCAUGACUAGAAAUCAUGUGGGCUUUGCCCGCGCAGGUUCGAAUCCGAAAAUGUUGUUUAGU